GCGGGCCUCGGUGGGGCGGGCCUCGGUGGGGCGGGGCCUCUGUGGGGGCGGGGCGUAAAACCCACCUCUGACCCGCUGGAAACGCACCUGUCUCAGGUGCCCUCCGCUCCCACCUUAUGGCGGUUUCUCUGCGCUUUCAUCUCCAGGUUUUAUUCAAGAGGGCCCCCACACUCCCAGGUUGCUCUUCCAUGAGUGCAAGGACACAGUGUGGGGCACCAAGCUCAAGACGGCCCCUGGACCUGGAUGCCGGCAAACAGACCCAGGUGUGGGCGCCCUUCUUUCACACCAGCCGAGCACCUUGGCUCCCGAGAAAUGUGGCUGCAGCAGGAGAUCCCCGCUGUUAGCCCUGCCCCCACGACGGCCUGACUUCCAAGGUCUCCCCAAAUUUCCAAAUACAUUUUCUGGUGCCACCCAGCCUGAAAUUAAGCCAACUCCCAACAUAUUCUCCAAAUUUGGUGAAAAUCUAACCCUUUUCUUAGGACAAGACCAGAAAACUUGAUUUGUUUACGUGAUGGAAUGACUGCUCCAAGAUUGAUUAUGGAUUAUUUGCAUCAACAAAAGCAUGAAAAAAAUUUAAGCGAGGAAUCCCAGGCAGGAAAGAAACAGAAAUGCUUCCUCAUCAGUUUUAACAGCAAACAGUCUUUGAGUCACCAAGACCCUGAGGGUUCCUAGCUAAGGACUCAGACGGCUUACAGCGUCUAUCCCGCGUGGACUCUGAUUUUCUUCCAAGGUGAUCUGACAGCUCCAAAUCUAUGAAGACAACGUGCUUGGUUUCCUCAGAUGCUACAUUAAAACCCGUCUCCGUUCAGAACUGGC
This 816-nucleotide long non-coding RNA is filed under the name Equus caballus (horse). RNAcentral describes it as "lncRNA (ENSECAG00000050622.1)". Lineage: Eukaryota; Metazoa; Chordata; Mammalia; Perissodactyla; Equidae. The record is from RNAcentral.